Molecule: ribosomal RNA, 497 nt
Filed under: uncultured bacterium
Lineage: Bacteria
Description: partial 16S ribosomal RNA
Rfam family: Bacterial small subunit ribosomal RNA
Source: RNAcentral
GAUGAACGCUGGCGGCGUGCCUAAUACAUGCAAGUCGAGCGAACGGACGAGAAGCUUGCUUCUCUGAUGUUAGCGGCGGACGGGUGAGUAACACGUGGAUAACCUACCUAUAAGACUGGGAUAACUUCGGGACACCGGCGCUAAUCCCGGAUAAUAUUUUGAACCGCAUGGUUCAAUAGUGAAAGACGGUCUUGCUGUCACUUAUCGCUGGAUCCGCGCUGCAUUAGCUAGUUGGUAAGGUAACGGCUUACCAAGGCAACGAGGCAUAGCCGACGUGAGAGGGUGAUCGGCGACACGGGAACGUAGACACGGUCCAGACUCCUACGGGAGGCAGCAGUAGGGAAUCGUCCGCAAUAGGCGAAAGCCUGACGGAGCAACGCCGCGUGAGUGAUGAAGGUGUUCGGAUCGUAAAACUCGGUUAUUAGGGAAGAACAUAUGUGUAAGUAACUGUGCACAGCGUGACGGUACCUAAUCAGAAAGCCACGGCUAACUACGUG